AACGAACGCUGGCGGCAUGCCUAACACAUGCAAGUCGAACGAAGUCUUCGGACUUAGUGGCGCACGGGUGCGUAACGCGUGGGAAUCUGCCCUUGGGUACGGAAUAACUCAGAGAAAUUUGUGCUAAUACCGUAUAAUGUCUUCGGACCAAAGAUUUAUCGCCCAAGGAUGAGCCCGCGUAAGAUUAGCUAGUUGGUGGGGUAAAAGCCUACCAAGGCGAUGAUCUUUAGCUGGUCUGAGAGGAUGAUCAGCCACACUGGGACUGAGACACGGCCCAGACUCCUACGGGAAGCAGCAGUGGGGAAUAUUGGACAAUGGGCGAAAGCCUGAUCCAGCAAUGCCGCGUGAGUGAUGAAGGCCCUAGGGUUGUAAAGCUCUUUUACCAGGGAUGAUAAUGACAGUACCUGGAGAAUAAGCUCCGGCUAACUCCGUG
Molecule: ribosomal RNA, 433 nt
Filed under: uncultured bacterium
Lineage: Bacteria
Description: partial 16S ribosomal RNA
Rfam family: Bacterial small subunit ribosomal RNA
Source: RNAcentral